GACGAACGCUGGCGGCGUGCUUAACACAUGCAAGUCGAACGGAAAGGCCCUGCUUUUGUGGGGUGCUCGAGUGGCGAACGGGUGAGUAACACGUGAGUAACCUGCCCUUGACUUUGGGAUAACUUCAGGAAACUGGGGCUAAUACCGGAUAGGAGCUCCUGCUGCAUGGUGGGGGUUGGAAAGUUUCGGCGGUUGGGGAUGGACUCGCGGCUUAUCAGCUUGUUGGUGGGGUAGUGGCUUACCAAGGCUUUGACGGGUAGCCGGCCUGAGAGGGUGACCGGCCACAUUGGGACUGAGAUACGGCCCAGACUCCUACGGGAGGCAGCAGUGGGGAAUAUUGCACAAUGGGCGGAAGCCUGAUGCAGCAACGCCGCGUGCGGGAUGACGGCCUUCGGGUUGUAAACCGCUUUCGCCUGUGACGAAGCGUGAGUGACGGUAAUGGGUAAAGAAGCACCGGCUAACUACGUGCCAGCAGCCGCGGUGAUACGUAGGGUGCGAGCGUUGUCCGGAUUUAUUGGGCGUAAAGGGCUCGUAGGUGGUUGAUCGCGUCGGAAGUGUAAUCUUGGGGCUUAACCCUGAGCGUGCUUUCGAUACGGGUUGACUUGAGGAAGGUAGGGGAGAAUGGAAUUCCUGGUGGAGCGGUGGAAUGCGCAGAUAUCAGGAGGAACACCAGUGGCGAAGGCGGUUCUCUGGGCCUUUCCUGACGCUGAGGAGCGAAAGCGUGGGGAGCGAACAGGCUUAGAUACCCUGGUAGUCCACGCUGUAAACGGUGGGUACUAGGUGUGGGGUCCAUUCCACGGGUUCCGUGCCGUAGCUAACGCUUUAAGUACCCCGCCUGGGGAGUACGGCCGCAAGGCUAAAACUCAAAGGAAUUGACGAGGCCCCGCACAAGCGGCGGAGCAUGCGGAUUAAUUCGAUGCAACGCGUAGAACCUUACCUGGGUUUGACAUGGAUCGGGAGUGCUCAGAGAUGGGUGUGCCUCUUUUGGGGUCGGUUCACAGGUGGUGCAUGGCUGUCGUCAGCUCGUGUCGUGAGAUGUUGGGUUAAGUCCCGCAACGAGCGCAACCCUUGUUCACUGUUGCCAGCACGUUAUGGUGGGGACUCAGUGGAGACCGCCGGGGUCAACUCGGAGGAAGGUGGGGAUGACGUCAAGUCAUCAUGCCCCUUAUGUCCAGGGCUUCACGCAUGCUACAAUGGCUGGUACAGAGAGUGGCGAGCCUGUGAGGGUGAGCGAAUCUCGGAAAGCCGGUCUCAGUUCGGAUUGGGGUCUGCAACUCGACCUCAUGAAGUCGGAGUCGCUAGUAAUCGCAGAUCAGCAACGCUGCGGUGAAUACGUUCCCGGG
This 1343-nucleotide ribosomal RNA is filed under the name uncultured bacterium. RNAcentral's name for it is "16S ribosomal RNA". It matches the Rfam family "Bacterial small subunit ribosomal RNA", at positions 28 to 1378 of the family's 1533-position model. The record is from RNAcentral.